RNAcentral lists this long non-coding RNA (850 nucleotides) under Equus caballus (horse). Its description in RNAcentral is "lncRNA (ENSECAG00000035383.3)". The record is from RNAcentral. Lineage: Eukaryota; Metazoa; Chordata; Mammalia; Perissodactyla; Equidae.
CACCAGCAAGUCAAGGUUUAAGAGGAUGUCACUGGACAUUCAGGCAGAGAAACCAGUCAUGGCUUCGCCUUUAGACUCAGACAGCUGCUUCCCAGGACCUUGCUCCUCCGAGGCUCAGGGCACGCCCGGGUCGAGGGAAGUUGUGUCCGAAAUGGUUUCUGAGCUUCUUGGAGGAAACGGAGUCACGGUAGAAAGAAAGACAAUCGUCUCACAAAUGGGUGGUGGCACCAACUCCUUCCAGGAUGGAGCUGAGGCUUCACUGAGACCACCAGAUCCAGGACUGGAGCACUCCACGGCCAGGCACGAUGAUGGCGAUGAUGGCGAGAAAGGAUUAGCAUAACUUUCUGGAGCCCUCGACUGUCACUUAGCAGGGAUAUGGCACACAGGCCAGAAGGUCAGCUGAAGGGCCCACCAUGUUGUGAUAAUGGAGAUUCCACCAGCAUCAGCUGGAGAAGGACGUGGCAGAGACUCAGAGAGGUCAAGAGCUCUUCAAGAGGAUCGGCCACCAUGGACAACACAGGGCCCUGACAAUGGCGGAGAACAGGACAUGAGUCUGUCAGCUCCAGAAGUGAGGAAUCAACGAGAAAGCCAUCUUCAAACAAGAAAGAUAGCCUUUGCCAAGAGCUAGACUCUCCUGGGACCUAAUCUUGAACUCUAAGCCUCCAGAACUGUGAGAAAGAAAAUUCUAUUCCUUAAGCCACCCAGUCUGUGGCAUUCUGUUACAGCAGACCAAGGUGACCUAGACAACUUCUGCCCCUUCCCAUGGCACACCAGGCCCCCGUGGCCCAGCCCCGGCCUGCACCUGACGUCUGCUCACUGUCUUGGCCCCAUCAUCAGCUCUUGUCCCACA